RNAcentral lists this long non-coding RNA (517 nucleotides) under Cricetulus griseus (Chinese hamster). RNAcentral's name for it is "lncRNA (ENSCGRG00015041253.1)". Lineage: Eukaryota; Metazoa; Chordata; Mammalia; Rodentia; Cricetidae. The record is from RNAcentral.
GGAAUUUUCCAACCGUCUCUUGGAGAAGUCUGUCAAAAGGAAAGCUGACCAAGAUUCAAACCCAAGGUCUGUCUGAGUGGCCCGGUGGUCCUGAACAAGUAUUCUCACAUCUCUGGACUCCAGCGGAAAACAGGGGGCAUGCCAUUCUCUUAAAGUGGAAAACAAAUCCUAGUCCCUGCUAGUGGAGAUGCUCUCAACACUCCGACUGCAGACAAGACUUCUACAAAUGAGGACACAUUCACGCAGACUUCCAGAACUUGCGGCAGCUCCUUACAUCUCAGUGACUUGACCUCUGACUCCUGGGUUCAAAGAUCGACCCAUUCCGUGUGUAUGAUGGUUUGUGACCUGUACCCUCCAGAGGCAGAACUCACAGGUAUGUCAAUCUCUGAAUCAAGGAGGAAAAGGGUACCAUGAGACCCAUCUUGAGGAAGUCAGAAGUGGUCUAACUAACACAUACACAGUUCAUUUCUUUUCUGUUUGGCUAAGGAAGAAGGUGACUCUACACAGAGGAAGCCCA